This 313-nucleotide ribosomal RNA is filed under the name uncultured bacterium. Its description in RNAcentral is "bacterial SSU rRNA". It matches the Rfam family "Bacterial small subunit ribosomal RNA", at positions 28 to 318 of the family's 1533-position model. The record is from RNAcentral.
GAUGAACGCUGGCGGCGUGCCUAAUACAUGCAAGUCGAACGCAUUAACUUCACCGAGUGCUUGCACUCACCGAAGUUAAUGAGUGGGCGAACGGGUGAGUAACACGUGGGUAACCUGCCCAAAAGAGGGGGAUAACACUUGGAAACAGGUGCUAAUACCGCAUAAUUUGUUAAACCGCAUGGUUUGAUAAUGAAAGACGGCGUAAGCUGUCACUUUUGGAUGGACCCGCGGCGUAUUAGCUAGUUGGUGAGGUAAAGGCCCACCAAGGCAAUGAUACGUAGCCGACCUGAGAGGGUGAUCGGCCACAUUGGGA